AAGCGAAACCGCGCCCCUACGGGGGCCGGUCUACUGGGCGUGGUGGCCCAGUACUGAUGAGCAGCCAAAG
RNAcentral lists this non-coding RNA (70 nucleotides) under Desulfobacteraceae bacterium 4572_35.1. The record is from RNAcentral. Lineage: Bacteria; Pseudomonadati; Thermodesulfobacteriota; Desulfobacteria; Desulfobacterales; Desulfobacteraceae.